This 434-nucleotide ribosomal RNA is filed under the name uncultured Clostridium sp. RNAcentral's name for it is "partial 16S ribosomal RNA". It matches the Rfam family "Bacterial small subunit ribosomal RNA", at positions 341 to 792 of the family's 1533-position model. Lineage: Bacteria; Bacillati; Bacillota; Clostridia; Eubacteriales; Clostridiaceae. The record is from RNAcentral.
ACGGAAGGCAGCAGUGGGGAAUAUUGGGCAAUGGGGGAAACCCUGACCCAGCAACGCCGCGUGAAGGAAGAAGGCCUUCGGGUUGUGAACUUCUUUUACCAGGGACGAUAAUGACGGUACCUGGAGAAAAAGCAACGGCUAACUACGUGCCAGCAGCCGCGGUAAUACGUAGGUUGCAAGCGUUGUCCGGAUUUACUGGGUGUAAAGGGCGUGUAGGCGGAGCUGCAAGUCAGAUGUGAAAUCCCGGGGCUCAACCCCGGAACUGCAUUUGAAACUGUAGCCCUUGAGUAUCGGAGAGGCAAGCGGAAUUCCUAGUGUAGCGGUGAAAUGCGUAGAUAUUAGGAGGGACACCAGUGGCGAAGGCGGCUUGCUGGACGACAACUGACGCUGAGGCGCGAAAGCGUGGGGAGCAAACAGGAUUAGAUACCCUGGUA